AUCUCCCCCCUCUUCUCUUCCCUUUUUUUCUUUUCCCCCUCUCUUCUUUUCCUCUCUUCCCUCCUUUUCCUUUUCUCUCCCUCUCUUUACUGGCCCAUUUGCUUGUGUGAUUGGCGGAGGUUUCGGGGUGCUCUUUACUGAGUGUCCCGGGGCGCCGUCAGGUUUACUUUGAAAAAAUUAGAGUGCUCAAAGCAAGCUUUUCACGCUUGAAUAUUCGUGCAUGGAAUAAUAGAAUAGGAACUCGUUUCUAUUUUGUUGGUUUUCGGAAAUCGAGUUAAUGAUUAAUAGGGACAAUUGGGGGCAUUAGUAUUCAGGCGACAGAGGUGAAAUUCUUGGACCGUCUGAAGACUAACUACUGCGAAAGCAUUUGCCAAGAGUGUUUUCA
Molecule: ribosomal RNA, 385 nt
Filed under: marine copepod environmental sample
Lineage: Eukaryota; Metazoa; Arthropoda; Copepoda
Description: partial small subunit ribosomal RNA
Rfam family: Eukaryotic small subunit ribosomal RNA (bases 163-385)
Source: RNAcentral